RNAcentral lists this transfer RNA (74 nucleotides) under Mesorhizobium phage Cp1R7A-A1. RNAcentral describes it as "tRNA-Thr". Lineage: Duplodnaviria; Heunggongvirae; Uroviricota; Caudoviricetes. The record is from RNAcentral.
GCUCUUGUAAGAUAGUGGCAGUCGCCGCCCGUCGUAAGGCCGGAGCCGGGGUUUGAUUCCUCGCGAGAGCACCA